GGCUGGUCCGAAGGUAGUGAGUUAUCUCAAUUGAUUGUUCACAGUCAGUUACAGAUCGAACUCCUUGUUCUACUCUUUACCCCCUUCUCACUACUGCACUUGACUAGUCUUUU
This 113-nucleotide Y RNA is filed under the name Ursus maritimus (polar bear). RNAcentral describes it as "Y RNA (ENSUMAG00000011451.1)". It matches the Rfam family "Y RNA". From Rfam's summary of the family: Y RNAs are components of the Ro ribonucleoprotein particle (Ro RNP), in association with Ro60 and La proteins. The Y RNAs and Ro60 and La proteins are well conserved, but the function of the Ro RNP is not known. The record is from RNAcentral. Lineage: Eukaryota; Metazoa; Chordata; Mammalia; Carnivora; Ursidae.